AACGAACGCUGGCGGCAUGCCUAACACAUGCAAGUCGAACGAGACCUUCGGGUCUAGUGGCGCACGGGUGCGUAACGCGUGGGAACCUGCCCUUAGGUUCGGACUAACUCCCCGAAAGGGGUGCUAAUGCCGGAUAAUGUCUUCGGACCAAAGAUUUAUCGCCUUUGGAUGGGCCCGCGUUGCAUUAGCUAGUUGGUAGGGUAAAAGCCUACCAAGGCGACGAUCCAUAGCUGGUCUGUGAGGAUGGUCCGCCACACUGGGACGAGGACACGGCCCAGACUCCUGCGGGAGGCAGGAGUGGGGAAUACUGGAAAAUGGGCGAAAGCAUGAACCAGCAAGGCCGCGUGAGUGAUGAAGGCCGGAGGGUAGUAAAGCUCUUUUACCCGGGAGGAGAAUGACGGUACCGGGAGAAUAAGCACCGGCUAACUCCGUG
This 433-nucleotide ribosomal RNA is filed under the name uncultured bacterium. RNAcentral describes it as "partial 16S ribosomal RNA". It matches the Rfam family "Bacterial small subunit ribosomal RNA", at positions 29 to 507 of the family's 1533-position model. The record is from RNAcentral.